RNAcentral lists this ribosomal RNA (642 nucleotides) under Tricholoma columbetta. RNAcentral describes it as "eukaryotic LSU rRNA". The stretch from base 259 to 412 matches the Rfam family "5.8S ribosomal RNA". Lineage: Eukaryota; Fungi; Basidiomycota; Agaricomycetes; Agaricales; Tricholomataceae. The record is from RNAcentral.
GCGGAAGGAUCAUUAUUGAAUAAGCUUGGUUGGGCUGUUGCUGGCUCCUCGGGGCAUGUGCACGCCUAACRCCAACUUUCUUACCACCUGUGCACUUUUUGUAGGCUUUGGAAAUACCUCUCGAGGAAACUCAGUCUGAGGACUGCUAUGCGCAAGCUGGCUUUCCUUUCACUUUCCAGUCUAUGUUAUCAUAUUUACACCUAUAGUAUGUUUCAGAAUGUCAUUCUAAUGUGCUUAAUUGCACUUUAAUCCUUAUACAACUUUCAACAACGGAUCUCUUGGCUCUCGCAUCGAUGAAGAACGCAGCGAAAUGCGAUAAGUAAUGUGAAUUGCAGAAUUCAGUGAAUCAUCGAAUCUUUGAACGCACCUUGCGCUCCUUGGUAUUCCGAGGAGCAUGCCUGUUUGAGUGUCAUGAAAUUAUCAACCAUUUCAACUUUAUCGGUUGAAUUAGGCUUGGAUGUGGGAGUCUUUGCUGGCUUCGCAAGAGGUUGGCUCUCCUUAAAUUCAUUAGCAGGACCUUUGUUGCUCCCCAGCAUUAAUGUGAUAAUUAUCUACGUUAUUGCUGAAAAGUAACUUUAAUUGGGUUUCCAGCUUCUAAUUGUCUUUGUAGACACAUAAUGUAUAUGUCAAUUUGACCUCAAA